Molecule: ribosomal RNA, 674 nt
Filed under: Curcuma caesia
Lineage: Eukaryota; Viridiplantae; Streptophyta; Magnoliopsida; Zingiberales; Zingiberaceae
Description: eukaryotic LSU rRNA
Rfam family: 5.8S ribosomal RNA (bases 241-396)
Source: RNAcentral
GUAAAAAUCGUUACAAGGUUUCCGUAGGUGAACCUGCGGAAGGAUCAUUGUUGAGAGAGCAUAUUGAAAGAUGGGUGAUUGUGAAAGUGUGAACGUGACCCUUUUGUCCCCCCCUCAACUUGGUGGGCGAUUGACCGUAGCUCUGCGCGAUCGGCAAUAAGGAACAACGAACUUGUAAGCAGAAAGCCCCCUUCGCGUGAGCGGGGAGCCCAGUGUGUCGGAGAUUUUUAAGAAUCAAAUGUCUCUCGGCAAUGGAUAUCUCGGCUCAUGCAUAUGGGAAGAAAAUAGAGAAAUGAGAUAUUUGGUGAGAAUUGCAGAAUCUCGUGAAUCAUUGAGUCUUUGAACGCAAAGUGUGCCCGAGGCCGUGUGCUCGAGGGCACGCCCGUCUGGGUGUCAUGACAUCUUCUCUUUUCCUCCAUGUUUUGUCGGCAGGGAGCGGGGAAGUUGGCCCCGUGUGCCCUCGCGCACAGUCGGUGGAAGAGUGGGUAUUCGGUAAUCGUCGAGCACGAUGGACGUUGGUCCUCGCGAGAGAGAACUGAAUCUCGUCCUCGUCGUUUUGGGAUGAGUCCUCAAGAGACCCUGUGUGAUGAUUGCGGAGUCGCGGAAAGCGCCGCGUCAAUCAUUUGCGGCCCCAAGUCAGGCCAGACCACCCGCCGAGUUUAAUCAUAUCAAUA